GGAUGUAGGGUGUAUAAGUGCACGGAAAAAGAGGUACGAUUAUCCAGAUUCAAAUUUAAAAAGGUUUACCCGUUGAAUGAUUGAAAUCUUCAUUUUACAUAUCCAAAACUCAGAAAAGGAAAAUCUUAACAUCUUUAUUUGUAUAAACUUUCUCUUUCAAAAUCCUAUAUUUUAAAUUUUUUCUCUCUUUCUCAACCCCAAAUCUCUCAAUACUCUUCCUCUUCGAAAAACUAGAAAAUCCCUUCUUUCUCUGUAUUCAUCUCAACUCAAUGGCAAGAAAAGCAAAGGAUUCAAGCACCUCCACUACCUCAACCAAACAAAUAAAAUUAGAAAAGAAAUCUCAAGUGCUUGAAAUAUUUAUCCAUAUAGAAAAGUACAAGAUGGUGCAGCCUUGAGUUUUUGACUGAAAGGUUUUUAGGGAUAAAGCUAUGAAGUUGAAGGAAUGGUUCAAGUUUCAAGGCUGGGUUCUGUUUAUACAAAUCAAAGAGAAAUUUCAUGAAGAUCUCACUUUAGAGUUCUAUAGGUCGGUCACAAAAAUAACAGAUGAGGUAUGGGUAAGCAUAAACAAGGAGCCAAAAGAAAUCACUCCAACCUUGCUAGGAAAAGUUCUAGGCUUGCUGGUGGAUGGAGCAAUUAAUCAUUGAGCAUACUUCUGACAAGAGUAUUCUUGGGUAUGAUAAAAAGAGAUUUAUUAAAGAGCUAAGAGCAAAUCAACAUACAGAGAUGGUGAACAUGAGGAAGCUGAUAGAGCAAUGGAAGAAGAAAAAUCAAAGAAAAUAAUCAUACUCCGUUGAUGCCGCCAAGAAUGUGACUAAGGCAAGCCACUCCAAGGCUGGUGACGCAACCAAUGUAGCUCGCUCUCCCCCUUUGUCUUAACCGGAGCAGGAGAGUGGGCAAAAACAAUAUGAAAAAAGAGCAAGUUGUCUCUUUCGAGCAUCUUGCUAAGAUGAGAAAAUCUUAUAUUGCUACUAACGAGGUUGUAGAUGAGCUCGGCUAUUUUCAGAAUAGUCUCCUGAAGGUGUUUGGAGAGGAGGCCUCUGUUCAUACACCAAAGGUUACAUUCGAGGUGCUAUACAACUGCAGCCUUCGAACCAAGAGAGGCUUUAGAAUAUGCCUGAUGGUGAUCAGCUGGGAGGCUCGUAUGCCAUUACGCUUGAGGUGGCCUACCAAUUCAUGGAGCUAAAGAGGAGACAACAAGACAAGUUAAAAGCCUGGGAUCAAGAGCUCACCUCGUUCAAAAAGGUAGAGCAGAUCAGAAGUCUAAAGUAGACAACAUUCUCAAUGCUUAUGAGCAAAAAAAGAUGCUAACUCGGCAUCAUGCUGCCUUGGAUGAGAAGGAUUAGAGGAUCUCUAGCCUCAAAGCUAAUCUUGUGGCUAAGUGGGCUAAGCUAGAGCAAGAGAAGUAAGGGCAAGCUGAUGACGCUGUGAAGAUGGCGUGGUCCCUUGUGGGAUAUCAAACGAAGCUUAUUUGCGAGCUCUCUUGUAAAUAUUUGAUUUGUGACUUCUUGUGCAUCAACGACAUUUACCCUAAUGACGAUGAUGUUGAGCCUUAGCUCUUAUUUUCGAUCCUUCGGGUCCUACUCCUGCUAAUCUUGAAAAUGCACUUUCUAUAGAUGAUUAUUUAGCUAAUCUUGCAACUGACACUGCUACUUAAACAAAGUAGUACUUCUUCUAUUAUACUACUUUUUUUAAUUUUAUUUGGUUUAAUGAAACUUUUCUUUC
This is a long non-coding RNA of Ricinus communis (castor bean), 1722 nucleotides long. RefSeq lists it as uncharacterized. The record is from RefSeq and is a predicted model, not a curated record. The transcript is spliced from 3 exons. Lineage: Eukaryota; Viridiplantae; Streptophyta; Magnoliopsida; Malpighiales; Euphorbiaceae.